GUGUGAGUGAUGAUAUAAAUCAGACGGAUUCCCACUGAUUCCACAUGAUGUCUACCAGCUACUUCUGACACAC
This is a small nucleolar RNA of Nymphaea colorata (pocket water lily), 73 nucleotides long. RefSeq annotates it as small nucleolar RNA R12. The record is from RefSeq and is a predicted model, not a curated record. NCBI's taxonomy places the organism in Eukaryota, Viridiplantae, Streptophyta, Magnoliopsida, Nymphaeales, Nymphaeaceae. The transcript has a single exon.